GGAAUUCUUUAGGGGACCCCACAUUAAGUGGGAUGAGUGCUUGCUUUGUUGUAGUAGCUAUGGUAACUAUUUCUUUGUUUGGGUAGGAACAAAGAAAGAGAAAGGAGAGAAAAUAGUGGGUUAGCCGUGAAAGGAAAAGAGAGUGAGAAGAAGGGUAGGAAAAGAAGAGAGAGUAGUUGAAGGAAAAAUAUUGGAAGAGGUAGUAUUUUUCUGUAUGCAUAUGCAUAUGCAUUUGUAUAGCAUACAACCUUUAAUUUAAUAGCCAUACAACCUAAUAGCCAGAAACGCCUUCCCAAUUUACUGAACCCUGCUUAUAUGUAGUUUAUAAUUGUUGUGUCUUUUUUUUACGUUUAAGUUGUAAUUUGAUGUUAGAAUUUAUUACAAUGGAUGCAAGUUUUAACUCAAUUUGAUCACAUAGGAUUUGAAUUGUAAAAAGGUCUUCUGCUGACAU
RNAcentral lists this long non-coding RNA (451 nucleotides) under Schizosaccharomyces pombe (fission yeast). RNAcentral describes it as "Pdc2-Repressed lncRNA, antisense to Mat1-Mi". Lineage: Eukaryota; Fungi; Ascomycota; Schizosaccharomycetes; Schizosaccharomycetales; Schizosaccharomycetaceae. The record is from RNAcentral.